UACGAAGGGUGCAAGCGUUGUUCGGAAUUACUGGGCGUAAAGAGCGUGUAGGCGGUUUGGUAGGUCCGCUGUGAAAACUCGAGGCUCAACCUCGAGACGCCGGUGGAAACCAUCAGGCUAGAGUCCGGAAGAGGAGAGUGGAAUUCCUGGUGUAGCGGUGAAAUGCGCAGAUAUCAGGAAGAACACCCGUGGCUAAGGCGGCUCUCUAGUACGGUACUGACGCUGAGACGCGAAAGCGUGGGGAGCGAACAGG
Molecule: ribosomal RNA, 253 nt
Filed under: uncultured bacterium
Lineage: Bacteria
Description: partial 16S ribosomal RNA
Rfam family: Bacterial small subunit ribosomal RNA
Source: RNAcentral